UUGAACGCUGGCGGCAUGCCUUACACAUGCAAGUCGAACGGCAGCACGGGAGCAAUCCUGGUGGCGAGUGGCGAACGGGUGAGUAAUAUAUCGGAACGUACCCCGUCGUGGGGGAUAACACAGCGAAAGUUGUGCUAAUACCGCAUACGACCUGAGGGUGAAAGCGGGGGACCGUAAGGCCUCGCGCGAUGGGAGCGGCCGAUAUCGGAUUAGCUAGUUGGUGAGGUAAAGGCUCACCAAGGCGACGAUCCGUAGCUGGUCUGAGAGGACGACCAGCCACACUGGAACUGAGACACGGUCCAGACUCCUACGGGAGGCAGCAGUGGGGAAUUUUGGACAAUGGGGGCAACCCUGAUCCAGCCAUUCCGCGUGAGUGAAGAAGGCCUUCGGGUUGUAAAGCUCUUUCGGCAGGAACGAAACGGUGGUCCUUAAUACGGGCUACUAAUGACGGUACCUGAAGAAGAAGCACCGGCUAACUACGU
RNAcentral lists this ribosomal RNA (482 nucleotides) under uncultured bacterium. Its description in RNAcentral is "bacterial SSU rRNA". It matches the Rfam family "Bacterial small subunit ribosomal RNA", at positions 30 to 506 of the family's 1533-position model. The record is from RNAcentral.